CCAAUAGCGUAUAUUAAAGUUGUUGCAGUUAAAAAGCUCGUAGUUGAAUUUCGGGAUCGAUGGGUUGGUCGUGCCACCGGUACGUACUGGUCUCACUGGUUCCUCCUUCCUGAUGAACUAUGAUGCCAUUAAUUUGGUGUUGCGGGGAAUCAGGACUGUUACUUUGAAAAAAUUAGAGUGUUUAAAGCAAGCUAACGCUUGAAUACAUUAGCAUGGAAUAAUGAAAUAGGACGUUCGAUCCUAUUUUGUUGGUUUCUAAGAUCGACGUAAUGAUUAAUAGGGAUAGUUGGGGGCAUUAGUAUUCAAUUGUCAGAGGUGAAAUUCUUGGAUUUAUUGAAGACUAACUACUGCGAAAGCAUUUGCCAAGGAUGUUUUCAUUAAUCAAGAACGAAAGUUAGGGGAUCGAAGACGAUCAGAUACCGUCGUAGUCUUAACCAUAAACUAUGCCGACUAGGGAUCGGAUGAUGUUAAUUUUUUAAUGACUCAUUCGGCGCCUUACG
RNAcentral lists this ribosomal RNA (500 nucleotides) under uncultured Glomeromycotina. RNAcentral's name for it is "partial small subunit ribosomal RNA". It matches the Rfam family "Eukaryotic small subunit ribosomal RNA", at positions 591 to 1092 of the family's 1831-position model. The record is from RNAcentral. Lineage: Eukaryota; Fungi; Glomeromycota.